Molecule: ribosomal RNA, 1189 nt
Filed under: Torleya major
Lineage: Eukaryota; Metazoa; Arthropoda; Insecta; Ephemeroptera; Ephemerellidae
Description: eukaryotic LSU rRNA
Rfam family: Eukaryotic large subunit ribosomal RNA (bases 305-1189)
Source: RNAcentral
GACGCCGCGACCCGUCUUUUUGCGGCUCUACGGCCCGGGUGCGCAGGCCGCGCUCGCCUCUCGGGGCGAGUCGCGGAGCCCCGGUGUUCCCGAGCCGCGAUCGACGGUGUUAACGACGGACCAACCCCGCUGCUAUUCGUAGCGCCCGUGCCUCGCGCGAGCGUCGGCCCGCUAGACGCGCGCGGACUAGUUCCGCCGCGUUCGGGUUUCGGCGUUGUCGGCGUGAGGAAUUCUCGGGCAGGGAUCAGUGUCUUGUCUGCGGCGCUAAACUAGAGCGACCCACCCGGCCCGUCUUGAAACACGGACCAAGGAGUCUAACAUGUACGCGAGUCAUUGGGCACCACUACACCCAAGGGCGCAUUGAAAGAAAAGGCGGGCUGUAAUGGCCCGCCUCGGGAAGAUGGGGCGGCGCUCGCGUCGCUCCCGCACUCCCGGGGCGUCUCAUCCUAGCCGGUCCUCGCGGCCGUGCAAGGCGAGGCGCACCAAGAGCGUACACGUUGGUACCCGAAAGAUGGUGAACUAUGCCUGGUGAGGACGAAGUCAGGGGAAACCCUGAUGGAGGUCCGUAGCGAUUCUGACGUGCAAAUCGAUCGUCGGAACUAGGUAUAGGGGCGAAAGACUAAUCGAACCAUCUAGUAGCUGGUUCCCUCCGAAGUUUCCCUCAGGAUAGCUGGCGCUCAGAGAACCGAGUCCCAUCCGGUAAAGCGAAUGAUUAGAGGCCUUGGGUUCGAAACGUUCUCAACCUAUUCUCAAACUUUAAAUGGGUGGGAUCCGCGGCUUGCUUAACGGUGAAGCCGCGGUCUCGGAUCGGAGUGCCCAGUGGGCCAUUUUUGGUAAGCAGAACUGGCGCUGUGGGAUGAGCCAAACGCCGGGUUAAGGCGCCCGAAUAGAUGCUCAUUGACACCAUGAAAGGUGUUGGUUGCUUAAGACAGCAGGACGGUGGCCAUGGAAGUCGCAUCCGCUAAGGAGUGUGUAACAACUCACCUGCCGAAGCAACUAGCCCUGAAAAUGGAUGGCGCUGAAGCUUCUUGCCUAUACCCGCCGCCGGCGGACAGACGGCGCGCGGCCUCGGUUCGCGCGUCACGUAAGUCCCCGGCGAGUAGGAGGGUCGCGACGGUGUGCGUAGAAUGGGUCUGGGCGCGAGCCUGCCUGGAGCCGCCGUCGGUGCAGAUCUUGGUGGUAGGUAGCA